Molecule: ribosomal RNA, 601 nt
Filed under: uncultured bacterium
Lineage: Bacteria
Description: bacterial SSU rRNA
Rfam family: Bacterial small subunit ribosomal RNA
Source: RNAcentral
GUGUUACUGACGCUAAAGCUCGAAAGUGCGGGUAUCGAACAGGAUUAGAUACCCUGGUAGUCCGCACGGUAAACGAUGGAUGCCCGCUGUUUGCCCUUCGGGGUGAGUGGCUAAGCGAAAGCGUUAAGCAUCCCACCUGGGGAGUACGCCGGCAACGGUGAAACUCAAAGGAAUUGACGGGGGCCCGCACAAGCGGAGGAACAUGUGGUUUAAUUCGAUGAUACGCGAGGAACCUUACCCGGGCUUGAAUUGCAGAUGACGGAUCUAGAGAUAGAGACUUCCUUCGGGACAUCUGUGAAGGUGCUGCAUGGUUGUCGUCAGCUCGUGCCGUGAGGUGUCGGCUUAAGUGCCAUAACGAGCGCAACCCUUCUCUUCAGUUGCCAUCAGGUAGAGCUGGGCACUCUGGAGACACUGCCACCGUAAGGUGUGAGGAAGGUGGGGAUGACGUCAAAUCAGCACGGCCCUUACGUCCGGGGCUACACACGUGUUACAAUGGCCGGUACAGAAAGUCGGAUGCCCGUAAGGUCAUUCUAAUCAAGAAAGCCGGUCCCAGUUCGGACUGAGGUCUGCAACCCGACCUCACGAAGCUGGAUUCGCUAGU